This 470-nucleotide ribosomal RNA is filed under the name uncultured bacterium. RNAcentral describes it as "bacterial SSU rRNA". It matches the Rfam family "Bacterial small subunit ribosomal RNA", at positions 328 to 794 of the family's 1533-position model. The record is from RNAcentral.
UUCCCAGACUCCUACGGGAGGCAGCAGUGAGGAAUAUUGGUCAAUGGGCGAGAGCCUGAACCAGCCAAGUCGCGUGAGGGACGACGGCCCUACGGGUUGUAAACCUCUUUUGCCGGGGGACAAACGGCGGCACGCGUGCCGUCCUGAGGGUACCCGGAGAAAAAGCAUCGGCUAACUCCGUGCCAGCAGCCGCGGUAAUACGGAGGAUGCGAGCGUUAUCCGGAUUUAUUGGGUUUAAAGGGAGCGUAGGUGGAUUGUUAAGUCAGUUGUGAAAGUUUGCGGCUCAACCGUAAAAUUGCAGUUGAAACUGGCAGUCUUGAGUACAGUAGAGGUGGGCGGAAUUCGUGGUGUAGCGGUGAAAUGCUUAGAUAUCACGAAGAACUCCGAUUGCGAAGGCAGCUCACUGGACUGCAACUGACACUGAGGCUCGAAAGUGUGGGUAUCAAACAGGAUUAGAUACCCCGGUACGG